AAGGCGGCCUGCUGGGCUUUAACUGACGCUGAGGCCACGAAAGCAUGGGUAGCAAACAGGAUUAGAUACCCUGGUAGUCCAUGCUGUAAACGAUGAUUACUAGGUGUGGGUGGUCUGACCCCAUCCGUGCCGGAGUUAACACAAUAAGUAAUCCACCUGGGGAGUACGACCGCAAGGUUGAAACUCAAAGGAAUUGACGGGGGCCCGCACAAGCAGUGGAGUAUGUGGUUUAAUUCGAAGCAACGCGAAGAACCUUACCAGGUCUUGACAUCCAACUAACGAAGCAGAGAUGCAUUAGGUGCCCUUCGGGGAAAGUUGAGACAGGUGGUGCAUGGUUGUCGUCAGCUCGUGUCGUGAGAUGUUGGGUUAAGUCCCGCAACGAGCGCAACCCUUGUGAUUAGUUGCUACGCAAGAGCACUCUAAUCAGACUGCCGUUGACAAAACGGAGGAAGGUGGGGACGACGUCAAAUCAUCAUGCCCCUUAUGACCUGGGCUACACACGUACUUUAAUGGCCGCCCACAGAGGGAAGCAAGACCGCGAGGUGGAGCAAACCCCUAAAAACGGUCUCAGUUCGGAUCGCAGGCUGCAACCCGCCUGCGUGAAGCUGGAAUUGCUAGUAAUCGCGGAUCAUCAUGCCGCGGUGAAUACGUUCCCGGGCCUUGUACACAUCUCGCCCGUCACACCAUGGGAGCCGGUAAUACCCGAAGUCGGUAGUCUAACCGCAAGGAGGACGCCGCCGAAGGUAGGAUUGGCGACUGGGGUGAAGUCGUAACAAGGUAACC
This 783-nucleotide ribosomal RNA is filed under the name uncultured bacterium. RNAcentral describes it as "bacterial SSU rRNA". It matches the Rfam family "Bacterial small subunit ribosomal RNA", at positions 718 to 1501 of the family's 1533-position model. The record is from RNAcentral.